RNAcentral lists this long non-coding RNA (329 nucleotides) under Capsella rubella. RNAcentral's name for it is "long non-coding RNA (CRUB_LNC002819)". The record is from RNAcentral. Lineage: Eukaryota; Viridiplantae; Streptophyta; Magnoliopsida; Brassicales; Brassicaceae.
CCUGGGCAAUGUGUGUGUAUUUGAGAGCGAGUUAAAAUCUUCAAUUUUUUAAAAAAAGGUUUUGAACCAAGAAAAAUAUCUAAAACUAAAAUCUUUGAAAGAAAAAAAAAUUAAAUAAAUAUUAAAUAAUAUAAUGGCUAAUCCUUCUGACCUCAAGAUUCACCGGUAGAGGUUGGCCUCUUCUCAUGCCAAGAUUCACCGGUAGAGGUUGGCCACCGUAAGCCACCGGUUUGAAAGAGGCUGCCCAUGCCAAGAUUCACCGGUAGAGGUGGGCCACCGUAAGCCACCGGUUCGAAAGAGGCUGCCCAUACCAAGAUUCACCGGUAGAG